UGACAUGAAUGAAGGAGAACCUAACACACUUAAGGAGUUUAAUUUUAAAGCAUCCAAUAUGAUGAGAUGGCCUCUGGACACAGUAGUCUAGGCUGUCUGGCCACAGAUCAGAUGCAGUAUUUAUGUUAUCACUGCUUCAUGACUGGGUCUCACAUGAAAUGUGUCCUUUGCAAAGUGAAAGAAUUUAAUGCAGCAAGUUCCCUUUUAUCCAUCCUUUGCCUCCGUAGCCAUCGGGACACAGCGAAUGCCUGGGUACAGUAUGGUUUCUCUGGGUAUUGAUCUGGAAACCUAGGAACUAGCAGAUUUAGUAAGGAGAUCUAAUAAUCUCUAAAAAUACUGUAGACAUUCCAAAUUUACAGAGAGCUUCUAGAAGUCUACUUGUUUGUAAGCCCCUAAAGACCUUAAUUAUAGACUAGCUGAUACUACCCUUUGUUGGUGGACAGAGUUGGCAGGCAUAUUUAGACAUGGCAUUAUAUUUGUGCUCUUAUAUAAUUGAAAACUCACUUGUUAAUAAGCUCCUAUAAAUAACUGAGAGGUAGUAUUUUCUUGUGUAUUGCAUUGUAUAUAUCUGAAUCUUUUGUGUCAACUUGUGGUUAUCUCACUGGUCAAGCUAACAUGAUUUAUUGGCCAUGAAUAGAGAGCUAAAUCCCUACUAACCUAAUUGAUGUGUUGGCCUGCCUAUAGAAUUCUUGGCAGUUAGAGUUUCUUACAAAACUUUGCUGUGGUGUCUUGUUCCCUAGAGGGAACAUUGCACUUUAGGAUAGUAUGUGAUAAGAACCAAGAUGAUGAAAUAUGUUUUGAGACUUUGAGACAAUUCUCAGUGCAGUUAAAACUGCAGUUAAUUGGUGUCUAUAGCAUAGUCAUCUGCAUUAUAAAUGACACUUUCAAAGUCACAGGAUGAGGAAGAUAUACUACCAGCUGUGCACAGCUACUUUCAGAGCAGUGCUAUCUCCAGGGUGUUGGGAGAAACUAGACUUGGUCUCCAGUUCUAGGUUCAGCUGAAUUGCUUUGUCUUAUACUGAAGAGUGCUCCUAUUUCAGCUGGUCUGUCCCCUUGUCUCCAGACAGGUCUUUCUAUACAUAGCUCCACUGUGGGACUCCCUGUAACUUUUUAGUUAGACAGUUCUUAAAUCUGGGUACAGAGUCAAAGUUGUAUCAUAGAUAUUAUCUUAAUACACCAUCUCAAGACUGCCAUAGCUAAUGACUAAUGAUUUAGGAUUUCAAAAGGCGUUCAUGACCACAUUCUGGGUGCCAUCAUGGGUCUGGCCACCUUCUUUGUCUCAUGCUAAGAUUUUAGCUUUUGACUAAGUGGAAGCAACUCAUAUCUUUUGUAGCACGCUAGUGUCAUUUUUUUCCUCUCUUAAACUUUUUUUUUUUUUUUUUGGAGGGGGGGAACUUUUUUUGGUUGGAGUCACAGGGCUGAGAAAAAGGGACACCUUGCCUGGAGCUAGCUGAGGGGUAACAAAAGGUAUUCAAUUCUACGACAAUCUUGUACAGGUUUUCUCAUUCAGUAGAGCAUAUGUUGUGUUAGUUUAGGCUUUUUGUUUGAAAGUUU
This 1554-nucleotide long non-coding RNA is filed under the name Mus musculus (house mouse). RNAcentral's name for it is "long non-coding RNA chr12:79596337-79597891". The record is from RNAcentral. Lineage: Eukaryota; Metazoa; Chordata; Mammalia; Rodentia; Muridae.